GGGUUCAGGGGCGCGUUGUGCCGCUGAAGGGCAGUUUUAGAGUGGCCGGGCCGCCACCA
This 59-nucleotide non-coding RNA is filed under the name Syntrophus aciditrophicus SB. The record is from RNAcentral. Lineage: Bacteria; Pseudomonadati; Thermodesulfobacteriota; Syntrophia; Syntrophales; Syntrophaceae.